Long non-coding RNA from Lotus japonicus, 2583 nucleotides. RefSeq lists it as uncharacterized. The transcript has 5 exons. The record is from RefSeq and is a predicted model, not a curated record. Lineage: Eukaryota; Viridiplantae; Streptophyta; Magnoliopsida; Fabales; Fabaceae.
UAUUUGAGAAAGAUUAAUGAAGAAGAAAGUUCAGGAAUUGCUUGAGGAAUGUUGCGUAGUCAUUUUAGGAAUUAGAGCGAGUCGUCUGCACACCCGCCUUAUGGCAAGCGUGUCCAGAAUAGGCUAAUUUCGCUUUAGAGCAACGUUUUAAGUGAGAUUUCGAAUCCUUGGAAAAUUUAAAGAUUUUCUUUAUUUUUCCUUCGACCAGCGUUUCAUUUCGGAACUCUGGACUGUACGCACGAUAGGUUUCACUUUUCGGAUGUCCGCCGACGCUAAUUUCCUUGCUUCGAAACCCUAGAUUCGAGCGAUGGAUGAAGACUUUUUCUAUUCGGGACUUCUAACGAAGUUUCCAUCCGCGUUACCAGAUUUGUUUCGACAUUUCCAAUCUUUCUUCAGAAGGAAGUUUUGUCGUCUGAGCAUCACAGCAAAAAGUAGUUUAACGGGACAGAUUAACUUACACCGCCUUUGGGAUUUUUGAUAUCGUUUUUCCCAAAUCCUAGAUAUUUGUUUUGAGUUCUGGAAUUCUGACGCCAGAAUCUCUCUUAGAAUUUCUCGGUGAUCGUGCUGCAAAAAUCGGAAUCGCGAAAUUUUCAUUUUCCCGCGAUUUCACCCGCCUAUAAAUAGCGCGAAAAAGCAAAAUCCUCUCAUUUUCUUUCCAUUUGUGGCUGAUUUCGUGGGGAGCAAGGGGGGAGGAGAUUUCCGCGAAAACUUGACCAAUCUUCGUGCAGUUCGUCCCUACUUCUAGGUAUCGAGGUUCGCAAUUUCCAUGCCCAACUUCUACUCACGAAGGCGAUGGAGAUCCUUCCGCCGAUGCAUAGCUACUCGAGUUGGAGAUCGAGUUGUAAGUGGUGGAGUAGAGGUAUGAGAAGCAGCUUUGCUUCUCUUCUUGUGGAUUAUGUUGGAGUCUCUUUUACUUUAUGAGAACUCUGUUAUUAAAGUCUUGCUUCCGCCACUGUUAAAGUGCGCAUGUUUAUUCUGAACCUUACUUAUGGUAUUGUAAACUAUUAUUACUGUAUAUCGGGAAACAAGUUAUCUAAAUAAAGUUAUGGUAUGUUUCCAACCUUUUAGCCGAAGUGUUUAGUUGUUUUACAGAAAAAAAAAAUUCCCUUGGUUUUUAGGGAUUGCAGAUUGGUCCUUAGACUUUGUUAGGUUACUAAUGUGACUCCUCAGUUGAGAAAUUGGGGUGUUACAAUUUUGUAAGACCUGGAUUUUCAGAACAAGCUAAUUUCCGACUCACGCGUAGAAUCAGUGUAAGCGUGACAGGAGUUUGAUAUUUGAGAAAGAUUAAUGAAGAAGAAAGUUCAGGAAUUGCUUGAGGAAUGUUGCGUAGUCAUUUUAGGAAUUAGAGCGAGUCGUCUGCACACCCGCCUUAUGGCAAGCGUGUCCAGAAUAGGCUAAUUUCGCUUUAGAGCAACGUUUUAAGUGAGAUUUCGAAUCCUUGGAAAAUUUAAAGAUUUUCUUUAUUUUUCCUUCGACCAGCGUUUCAUUUCGGAACUCUGGACUGUACGCACGAUAGGUUUCACUUUUCGGAUGUCCGCCGACGCUAAUUUCCUUGCUUCGAAACCCUAGAUUCGAGCGAUGGAUGAAGACUUUUUCUAUUCGGGACUUCUAACGAAGUUUCCAUCCGCGUUACCAGAUUUGUUUCGACAUUUCCAAUCUUUCUUCAGAAGGAAGUUUUGUCGUCUGAGCAUCACAGCAAAAAGUAGUUUAACGGGACAGAUUAACUUACACCGCCUUUGGGAUUUUUGAUAUCGUUUUUCCCAAAUCCUAGAUAUUUGUUUUGAGUUCUGGAAUUCUGACGCCAGAAUCUCUCUUAGAAUUUCUCGGUGAUCGUGCUGCAAAAAUCGGAAUCGCGAAAUUUUCAUUUUCCCGCGAUUUCACCCGCCUAUAAAUAGCGCGAAAAAGCAAAAUCCUCUCAUUUUCUUUCCAUUUGUGGCUGAUUUCGUGGGGAGCAAGGGGGGAGGAGAUUUCCGCGAAAACUUGACCAAUCUUCGUGCAGUUCGUCCCUACUUCUAGGUAUCGAGGUUCGCAAUUUCCAUGCCCAACUUCUACUCACGAAGGCGAUGGAGAUCCUUCCGCCGAUGCAUAGCUACUCGAGUUGGAGAUCGAGUUGUAAGUGGUGGAGUAGAGGUAUGAGAAGCAGCUUUGCUUCUCUUCUUGUGGAUUAUGUUGGAGUCUCUUUUACUUUAUGAGAACUCUGUUAUUAAAGUCUUGCUUCCGCCACUGUUAAAGUGCGCAUGUUUAUUCUGAACCUUACUUAUGGUAUUGUAAACUAUUAUUACUGUAUAUCGGGAAACAAGUUAUCUAAAUAAAGUUAUGGUAUGUUUCCAACCUUUUAGCCGAAGUGUUUAGUUGUUUUACAGAAAAAAAAAAUUCCCUUGGUUUUUAGGGAUUGCAGAUUGGUCCUUAGACUUUGUUAGGUUACUAAUGUGACUCCUCAGUUGAGAAAUUGGGGUGUUACAGUAGCGUUGAGGAGUUUGUGGAGGCUUUCGAGCUGUUAUCCUCACAAGUGGGGAGGUUACCAGAGGAUCAAUACCUGGGCUAUUUUAUGAGUGGACUCAAGCCACCGAUUCGACGACGGGU